This 613-nucleotide ribosomal RNA is filed under the name uncultured fungus. RNAcentral describes it as "eukaryotic LSU rRNA". It matches the Rfam family "Eukaryotic large subunit ribosomal RNA", at positions 24 to 664 of the family's 3401-position model. The record is from RNAcentral. Lineage: Eukaryota; Fungi.
CCCGCUGAACUUAAGCAUAUCAAUAAGCGGAGGAAAAGAAACCAACAGGGAUUGCCCCAGUAACGGCGAGUGAAGCGGCAACAGCUCAAAUUUGAAAUCUGGCCCUAGGCCCGAGUUGUAAUUUGUAGAGGAUGUUUCUGACGAGGUACCUUCCGAGUUCCCUGGAACGGGACGCCAUAGAGGGUGAGAGCCCCGUACGGUUGGUCGCCAAGUCUCUGUGAGACUCCUUCGACGAGUCGAGUAGUUUGGGAAUGCUGCUCUAAAUGAGAGGUAUACGUCUUCUAAAGCUAAAUAUAGGCCAGAGACCGAUAGCGCACAAGUAGAGUGAUCGACAGAUGAAAAGCACUUUGAGAAGAGGGUUAAAUAGUACGUGAAAUUGUUGAAAGGGAAGCGCAUAUGACCAGACUUGGCCAGGUUAAUCAUCCAUCGUUCUCGGUGGUGCACUUUGCCUGGCCAGGCCAGCAUCAGUUCGCUUUGGGGGAUAAAGACUUUGGGAAUGUGGCUCCCUCGGGAGUGUUAUAGCCCAUUGUGUAAUACCCUGGAGUGGACUGAGGUUCGCGCAUCUGCAAGGAUGCUGGCGUAAUGGUCAUCUGCGACCCGUCUUGAAACACGG